AUUUGGUGGUGUGGACACUUCCUAAGAAGAUCUUAAAAUCUUUCCCAUGUGUCAUAGAAUUUUUCUCCAUUUAUUUGGGAGAAGCUAAGAAUAUAACUACGCAUUU
Molecule: small nucleolar RNA, 106 nt
Organism: Cornus florida
Lineage: Eukaryota; Viridiplantae; Streptophyta; Magnoliopsida; Cornales; Cornaceae
Source: RefSeq, a predicted model, not a curated record